Papaver somniferum (opium poppy) is the source of this 851-nucleotide long non-coding RNA. RefSeq lists it as uncharacterized. NCBI's taxonomy places the organism in Eukaryota, Viridiplantae, Streptophyta, Magnoliopsida, Ranunculales, Papaveraceae. The transcript is spliced from 2 exons. The record is from RefSeq and is a predicted model, not a curated record.
UGUAUGACGGCUGAUCACUCAAAUUUUAUUUUUUUUUUCUCUUCUUCAUCUUCUCUUUCUUCUGUUGUUCUUCAUGUCUUUCUCCCUGUCGAAUUCAAUUCCAAUGAAUAGCUUCUUUUUGUGAGUGAUUCAUGUAAAACAUGAGAUGCAGAUAAAUCGAAGAAGAGGUUGAUGAAUCUGGAAGAUAAUUGAGCUCUGAAAGAAGAAGAAAUCAGAAGAAAUAGAAAUUAGGGUUUCUGCCAGAAUUUUAUAAGUUGUAUAUUUGGAAGAGGGGUUCGAUUUAGAAUAUGCAGAUAGAGAUUAGAGAUGGGUAUUGUGUGUUGAGAGUAAGGGAGGAGAUUUAGCUACUGAUUCCAAGAGAACCAGUGAUGGUAAAGGAAUUGAGUUUGAGUCCAAGAGAAAAGUUACUAAUAAUGAUGAUGAGUCGAUGGUGGUGUUGCUUGAAGAAUGGAAAAACAGUAAAUAGAUAGAGUUAGGGUUUUGUUUUGAGAUGAAGGAAUCAAGAGCAGUUUUGAGAUCGAGGGAUGAGGAUAAAGCUUAAGAAAGGGACGAUGAUGGUUGUACUGAUUGUUAUGGUUCACUCAAACUCAUGGGAAGGUUUCUUGGAUGAAAUGAAUAUGAGGGAUCUGAUUUUGAGUUGAUUAUGUAAAUUGAAGAUGAAGUUAUAUUAAAUAGAUUAGUUUAAUGCAUAAGAUUAGUUCAAUCCAUAUAAGAUUGUGCAAGCUUUGUGCAAUUCGUGCCUCCUUAGACUAUAUUAUGUUUAAUGAUGUAGAUAGAUAUAAGAUGUUGGACAAUGUGAGUUUGCAGUUUGUACCCAGUUUGUUAGAUAUGGAAAUAAGUUAGUUUGUUUA